Molecule: ribosomal RNA, 1343 nt
Filed under: uncultured bacterium
Lineage: Bacteria
Description: bacterial SSU rRNA
Rfam family: Bacterial small subunit ribosomal RNA
Source: RNAcentral
GAUGAACGCUGGCGGCGUGCUUAACACAUGCAAGUCGAACGAUGAAGCCCAGCUUGCUGGGUGGAUUAGUGGCGAACGGGUGAGUAACACGUGAGUAACCUGCCCUUAACUCUGGGAUAAGCCUGGGAAACUGGGUCUAAUACCGGAUAGGAGCGUCCACCGCAUGGUGGGUGUUGGAAAGAUUUAUCGGUUUUGGAUGGACUCGCGGCCUAUCAGCUUGUUGGUGAGGUAAUGGCUCACCAAGGCGACGACGGGUAGCCGGCCUGAGAGGGUGACCGGCCACACUGGGACUGAGACACGGCCCAGACUCCUACGGGAGGCAGCAGUGGGGAAUAUUGCACAAUGGGCGCAAGCCUGAUGCAGCGACGCCGCGUGAGGGAUGACGGCCUUCGGGUUGUAAACCUCUUUCAGUAGGGAAGAAGCGAAAGUGACGGUACCUGCAGAAGAAGCACCGGCUAACUACGUGCCAGCAGCCGCGGUAAUACGUAGGGUGCGAGCGUUAUCCGGAAUUAUUGGGCGUAAAGAGCUCGUAGCGGUUUGUCGCGUCUGUCGUGAAAGUCCGGGGCUUAACCCCGGAUCUGCGGUGGGUACGGGCAGACUAGAGUGCAGUAGGGGAGACUGGAAUUCCUGGUGUAGCGGUGGAAUGCGCGCAUAUCAGGAGGAACACCGAUGGGAAAGGCAGGUCUCUGGGCUGUAACUGACGCUGAGGAGCGAAAGCAUGGGGAGCGAACAGGAUUAGAUACCCUGGCAGUCCAUGCCGUAAACGUUGGGCACUAGGUGUGGGGACCAUUCCACGGUUUCCGCAUCCGCAGCUAACGCAUUAAGUGCCCCGCCUGGGGAGUACCGCCGCAAGGCUAAAACUCAAAGGAAUUGACGGGGGCCCGCACAAGCGGCGGAGCAUGCGGAUUAAUUCGAUGCAACGCGAAGAACCUUACCAAGGCUUGACAUGUUCUCGAUCGCCGUAGAGAUACGGUUUCCCCUUUGGGGCGGGUUCACAGGUGGUGCAUGGUUGUCGUCAGCUCGUGUCGUGAGAUGUUGGGUUAAGUCCCGCAACGAGCGCAACCCUCGUUCCAUGUUGCCAGCACGUCGUGGUGGGGACUCAUGGGAGACUGCCGGGGUCAACUCGGAGGAAGGUGAGGACGACGUCAAAUCAUCAUGCCCCUUAUGUCUUGGGCUUCACGCAUGCUACAAUGGCCGGUACAAUGGGUUGCGAUACUGUGAGGUGGAGCUAAUCCCAAAAAGCCGGUCUCAGUUCGGAUUGGGGUCUGCAACUCGACCCCAUGAAGUCGGAGUCGCUAGUAAUCGCAGAUCAGCAACGCUGCGGUGAAUACGUUCCCGGGCCU